AGAGUUUGAUCCUGGCUCAGAGCGAACGCUGGCGGCACGCCUAACACAUGCAAGUCGAGCGAGAAAGUGACUUCGGUCGCGAGUAAAGCGGCGAACGGGUGAGUACAACGUGGAUAAUCUACCCUAAGGUCUGGGACAACCCCGAGAAAUCGGGGCUAAUACCGGAUAAGACCACAGUAUCCAAGGAUACAGCGGUAAAAGAUUUAUCGCCUUUGGAUGAGUCCACGCCCCAUCAGGUAGUUGGUAAGGUAAAGGCUUACCAAGCCUAAGACGGGUAGCCGGCCUUAGCGGGUGAACGGCCACAUGGGGACUGAGACACGGCCCUGACUCCUACGGGAGGCAGCAGUGGGGAAUAUUGGGCAAUGGGCGAAAGCCUGACCCAGCGAUGCCGCGUGAGGGAUGAAGGCCUUCGGGUUGUAAACCUCUGUCAGGAGGGACGAUGGGACUUUGUCUUGACGGUACCUCCAGAGGAAGCCCCGGCUAACUCCGUGCCAGCAGCCGCGGUAAUACGGAGGGGGCAAGCGUUGCUCGGAAUUACUGGGCGUAAAGGGUCCGCAGGCUGUCAGGCAAGUUGGUUGUGAAAUCCCAAGGCUUAACCUUGGAAUUGCAUCCAAAACUGCCUGACUAGAGU
This 631-nucleotide ribosomal RNA is filed under the name uncultured bacterium. Its description in RNAcentral is "bacterial SSU rRNA". It matches the Rfam family "Bacterial small subunit ribosomal RNA", at positions 8 to 647 of the family's 1533-position model. The record is from RNAcentral.